GCAGCCGUGGCCUAGUCGUAAGGCGUCCGUCUCCUAGUCUCCUCCUCCUUGAACCAGUGAACGGAAGAUCCCGGGUUCAAAUCCCGGCGGUUGUG
Molecule: non-coding RNA, 95 nt
Organism: Penicillium ucsense
Lineage: Eukaryota; Fungi; Ascomycota; Eurotiomycetes; Eurotiales; Aspergillaceae
Source: the annotation of a GenBank genome assembly